CUGGGCUUGACCUCAGUCUCCGCCUUGGGGCUGGCCCGGAUGUUAGCCCAGAGGAAGCGAACGGAGGCGUGAAAUAGGCUUUGGCAGUUGUGCUUUUCCUUUUAGGCUCCUGGCCGCUGGCUUGAGAAGAGCAUCUUUUGUGGCCGUGCAGACACUUCCUCUGGAUCGGCUGCUAGCCCUGGGAGAAUGAGAAGGAAGUGGACGAAAGCAAACACACAGCUUGGAGUCAAGCCUAGCCAAGCCCAGCCCAGAUCCGCCGGGUCAUGCUAGCCGCCACCCCUGCUGAAAUAGAUGCUUACUCUUGUUUGCCAAGAGACUGAGAGCCCAAGAUGGAGGAGCAGCAGAGGGAGAGAGAGAGAAUCUCAAGCAGACUCCCCACUGAGCAUGGAGCCCAACGAAAGGCUUAGUCUCACAACCCUGAGAUCAUGACCCGAGCUGAAAUCAAGAGUCGGAUGCUUAACCAACUGAGCCACCCAGGCACCCCUUGAAAAAUCUUUUUUUUCUUCAGAUUAUAUUUGUUUGAGAGAGAGAGAGAGAGAGAGAGCAAGAGAGAGCACAAGGGCGAGGGAGAAGUAGGCUCCCCACUGAGCAAGGAGCCUGAUAUGGGGCUCGAUCCCAGAACCCUGGUAUCAUGACCUGAGCCCAAGGCAUAUGCUUGACUGAGCCACUCAGGCGCCCCUUGAAAAAUCAUUUCUAACUGAAAAUGAGUUUACUGAUUGAAAACAAAGUCCUAAUAUUUUAAAUUCCUAUAUCUACUUGAAUCCAUUCUUAAACUUUUAAAAUCUGUUUUUAGAGAGGCAGAGAGAGAGAUAGGAGGGGCAGAGGGAGAGAGAGAAUCUUAAGCAGGCUCCACAUCCAACACGGAGCCCAACAUUGGGCUCUAUCUCCCAACCCUGAGAUCAUGACCUGAGCUGACAUCAAGAGUCAGGCACUUAACCAACUGAGCUACCUAUGUGCCCCUCAUAAACUUUAUUCUUUUUCAUUUA
Long non-coding RNA from Mustela lutreola (European mink), 986 nucleotides. RefSeq lists it as uncharacterized. NCBI's taxonomy places the organism in Eukaryota, Metazoa, Chordata, Mammalia, Carnivora, Mustelidae. The record is from RefSeq and is a predicted model, not a curated record. The transcript is spliced from 2 exons.